Molecule: ribosomal RNA, 214 nt
Filed under: Affinundibacterium seohonense
Lineage: Bacteria; Pseudomonadati; Pseudomonadota; Betaproteobacteria; Burkholderiales; Oxalobacteraceae
Description: partial 16S ribosomal RNA
Rfam family: Bacterial small subunit ribosomal RNA
Source: RNAcentral
AGAUUAAACUGAAGAGUUUGAUCCUGGCUCAGAUUGAACGCUGGCGGCAUGCCUUACACAUGCAAGUCGAACGGCAGCACGGACUUUGGUCUGGUGGCGAGUGGCGAACGGGUGAGUAAUAUAUCGGAACAUACCCUAGAGUGGGGGAUAACGUAGCGAAAGUUACGCUAAUACCGCAUACGAACUAAGGUUGAAAGUGGGGGAUCUUCGGACC